UCGUAACAAGGUUUCCGUAGGUGAACCUGCGGAAGGAUCAUUAAAGCGUUGCCGACGUCGGCCCCGGCCGUUCGGCUUGAAAUAUAGCCUGGACGGUGCUGGAGGUCGCCGGCAGUUGCCCAUUCUUGCCUACUGACCCAGUUGCCUCGGCGAGCCGUGCCACUCGUGGCAGACCGGAAGCCGUUUGAACCCCUAGGGCUCAGGCGGCCCUGGCCAGUGCCCGCCGACGGACAGACUUAAAAUCUUUAUAUAUUGGCCGUCUGAGCGUAUAAAGCAAAUCAAUUAAAACUUUCAACAACGGAUCUCUUGGUUCCGGCAUCGAUGAAGAACGCAGCGAAAUGCGAUAAGUAAUGUGAAUUGCAGAAUUCCGUGAAUCAUCGAAUCUUUGAACGCACAUUGCGCCCCCUGGUAUUCCGGGGGGCAUGCCUGUUCGAGCGUCAUUGCAACCCUCAAGCUCGGCUUGUGUGAUGGGCGACCGUCCUUCCCCUAGGGGCGGGACGCGUCCGAAAAGCAGUGGCUAGGCCGCGAUUCCGGCGCCUGAGCGAAUGGGACUUCCACCGCUUCUAGGACCGGCCGGCACUUGGCCUUUAAACACGGUCUUAACUGACCAUCUAGGUUGACCUCGGAUCAGGUAGGGAUACCCGCUGAACCUAAGCAUAU
Molecule: unclassified non-coding RNA, 660 nt
Filed under: Arthroderma quadrifidum
Lineage: Eukaryota; Fungi; Ascomycota; Eurotiomycetes; Onygenales; Arthrodermataceae
Description: sequence contains 18S rRNA gene, ITS1, 5.8S rRNA gene, ITS2, 28S rRNA gene
Rfam family: 5.8S ribosomal RNA (bases 287-440)
Source: RNAcentral